UGGGGAAUAUUGCACAAUGGGCGCAAGCCUGAUGCAGCCAUGCCGCGUGUAUGAAGAAGGCCUUCGGGUUGUAAAGUACUUUCAGCGGGGAGGAAGGUGUUGUGGUUAAUAACCACAGCAAUUGACGUUACCCGCAGAAGAAGCACCGGCUAACUCCGUGCCAGCAGCCGCGGUAAUACGGAGGGUGCAAGCGUUAAUCGGAAUUACUGGGCGUAAAGCGCACGCAGGCGGUCUGUCAAGUCGGAUGUGAAAUCCCCGGGCUCAACCUGGGAACUGCAUCCGAAACUGGCAGGCUUGAGUCUUGUAGAGGUGGGUAGAAUUCCAGGUGUAGCGGUGAAAUGCGUAGAGAUCUGGAGGAAUACCGGUGGCGAAGGCGGCCCCCUGGACAAAGACUGACGCUCAGGUGCGAAAGCGUGGGGAGCAAACA
RNAcentral lists this ribosomal RNA (427 nucleotides) under uncultured bacterium. RNAcentral's name for it is "partial 16S ribosomal RNA". It matches the Rfam family "Bacterial small subunit ribosomal RNA", at positions 355 to 774 of the family's 1533-position model. The record is from RNAcentral.